CCCCAUCCCAUCCCUUGACUAUCCUAUACAAAAUGGAAAAUCUCUUCUCCAAGGAGUUAGGAGACAAUAAUUGAUAUAACUAUGUCAUCUUAUAUAGGGACAAAAUGAAUACAAUCUCACCCUAUGGUCUUCCAAUCUAUAGUAGACAAACAGUAAGUAAAGAGAUAUUGUGUAAAUCCACCAACUAUUCAUUAUUUUUGAAGUAAUACAGUGAGUGCAUCACAUGUUAAAGAAAUAAAAAUAAGUUUAUUACUUUUAUUCAUGAACAUGUACAACUCUUGAGGCUCCUCUGUUUUGGUUCUCUCAAUUAGGUGCUUUAAGAAGCAAAGACGUAGUACAAUGAAGGCAGAGCUUUCAGAUAAAUGAAUAAGAUAUGUUAAAAAUGGAGAUUGUUUGCUAUUUAUAUACCUAAACUUGCACUCUAUGAAAAAUAAAUAACUUA
This 442-nucleotide long non-coding RNA is filed under the name Solanum tuberosum (potato). Its description in RNAcentral is "long non-coding RNA (STUB_LNC007449)". Lineage: Eukaryota; Viridiplantae; Streptophyta; Magnoliopsida; Solanales; Solanaceae. The record is from RNAcentral.